GAGUCAAUGAUGAUACUUAAACUUGUCUUGAAAGAGAUGAUGGCAUAAAAAUCAUGCUCCAUAGGAUUACACUGAGGCUC
Molecule: small nucleolar RNA, 80 nt
Organism: Trichechus manatus latirostris (Florida manatee)
Lineage: Eukaryota; Metazoa; Chordata; Mammalia; Sirenia; Trichechidae
Product: small nucleolar RNA SNORD115
Exons: 1
Source: RefSeq, a predicted model, not a curated record